RNAcentral lists this transfer RNA (82 nucleotides) under Taylorella equigenitalis ATCC 35865. RNAcentral's name for it is "tRNA-Leu". It matches the Rfam family "tRNA". Rfam says of the family: Transfer RNA (tRNA) molecules are approximately 80 nucleotides in length. Their secondary structure includes four short double-helical elements and three loops (D, anti-codon, and T loops). Lineage: Bacteria; Pseudomonadati; Pseudomonadota; Betaproteobacteria; Burkholderiales; Alcaligenaceae. RNAcentral also lists the same sequence under 2 other names. The record is from RNAcentral.
GCGAGCGUGGCGGAAUUGGUAGACGCACUGGAUUUAGGUUCCAGCGCCGAGAGGUGUGAGAGUUCGAGUCUCUCCGCUCGCA